GGAAUAUUGUGGGGCUUCGGUGAGAAAGAGUGGACACAGAGCCAUCGAGAGCACAGUGAACAGAGGUUAUUGGCAACCAAGCGUGAGUAACCGCUAUGAUACUUCUCUGUACAUGACUUGUAUGAAGAGUCGUCCUGGUGUGUGUUCUUGUGUUUCGUGAGGUCCCUGGCCCCACUGGAGAGGAGAGCGUGGGUGAGCCGCGGGUUGACCGGAAGCACGGACGAAGCACCGCCCGCCAGUACGCCAGUGGCCCUGUGGGAAAAAGGAAGUGCAGCGUUCAAACUGCCCAGCCUCUGACGAGACACGAGAUGAUGACAUCUGUUGUGGCCUGAGUCCUAUAGAGAGAGAAAAUCAAGCCCUGUGCCCGGGGUGUGACAACGAGAGCUUCGUCUAUACACUGUAGCGCAACCAGUAAAGCUCUGUGUGGGAACGAGGAUCCCCCGGCUCUGUGAGUAACGCAGCCUGUGAGAUAACCUGUUCUGUGCUUAUAGCAACUACCUACCUGAACCAGUGAAGCUCUGUGUGGGAACGAGGAUCCCCCGGCACUGUGAGUAACGCAACCUGUGAAAUAACCUGUUCUGUGCUUAUAGCAACUACCUACCUGAACCAGUGAAGCUCUGUGUGGGAACGAGGAUCCCCCGGCACUGUGAGUAAUGCAACCUGUGGAAUAAAUCUGUGCUGUGCUUAUAGCAACUACCUGCCUGCAUCAGUGAAGCUCUGUGUGGGAACGAGGAUCCCCCAGUACUGUGAGUAUCGGCGAAGUAUUUACCCUGGUCUGACUGUGUGUGAUUCUGCCUCCAGGAGAAGCGGAGCGCGCCACGGAUCACUGGGCCAGAGCCCCGGUCCCCAGUCUUUUCCCCAAGUGGCCCUGGAGGCAAAGAAGAGCCACAUUAGUUUUAAAUUGCCCUUUCCCCUUUCCCCCUUUUCUUUUAAAUAUUUAAUAAAGUUUAUUUUAAUUAUA
Misgurnus anguillicaudatus (oriental weatherfish) is the source of this 961-nucleotide non-coding RNA. NCBI's taxonomy places the organism in Eukaryota, Metazoa, Chordata, Actinopteri, Cypriniformes, Cobitidae. The record is from RefSeq and is a predicted model, not a curated record.